CUCAGGAUGAACGCUAGCGGCAGGCUUAACACAUGCAAGUCGAGGGGUAUAUUUCUUCGGAGAUAGAGACCGGCGCACGGGUGCGUAACGCGUAUGCAAUCUACCUUUUACAGAGGGAUAGCCCAGAGAAAUUUGGAUUAAUACCUCAUAGUAUAUAUGCACGGCAUCGUGAUUAUAUUAAAGUCACAACGGUAAAAGAUGAGCAUGCGUCCCAUUAGCUAGUUGGUAAGGUAACGGCUUACCAAGGCUACGAUGGGUAGGGGUCCUGAGAGGGAGAUCCCCCACACUGGUACUGAGACACGGACCAGACUCCUACGGGAGGCAGCAGUGAGGAAUAUUGGACAAUGGGCGCAAGCCUGAUCCAGCCAUGCCGCGUGCAGGAUGACGGUCCUAUGGAUUGUAAACUGCUUUUAUACGAGAAGAAACACUACUUCGUGAAGUAGCUUGACGGUAUCGUAAGAAUAAGGAUC
This 470-nucleotide ribosomal RNA is filed under the name Flavobacteriaceae bacterium JJ-1117. Its description in RNAcentral is "bacterial SSU rRNA". It matches the Rfam family "Bacterial small subunit ribosomal RNA", at positions 23 to 494 of the family's 1533-position model. The record is from RNAcentral. Lineage: Bacteria; Pseudomonadati; Bacteroidota; Flavobacteriia; Flavobacteriales; Flavobacteriaceae.